UACGAAGGGGGCUAGCGUUGUUCGGAAUCACUGGGCGUAAAGCGCGCGUAGGCGGAUUGUUAAGUCAGGGGUGAAAUGCCGAGGCUCAACCUCGGAACUGCCUUUGAUACUGGCAAUCUUGAGUCCGGGAGAGGUGAGUGGAACUCCUAGUGUAGAGGUGAAAUUCGUAGAUAUUAGGAAGAACACCAGUGGCGAAGGCGGCUCACUGGACCGGUAUUGACGCUGAGGUGCGAAAGCGUGGGGAGCAAACAGG
This 253-nucleotide ribosomal RNA is filed under the name uncultured bacterium. Its description in RNAcentral is "partial 16S ribosomal RNA". It matches the Rfam family "Bacterial small subunit ribosomal RNA", at positions 524 to 776 of the family's 1533-position model. The record is from RNAcentral.